Molecule: ribosomal RNA, 465 nt
Filed under: uncultured bacterium
Lineage: Bacteria
Description: partial 16S ribosomal RNA
Rfam family: Bacterial small subunit ribosomal RNA
Source: RNAcentral
GACGAACGCUGGCGGCGUGCUUAACACAUGCAAGUCGAACGGAAAGGCCCUGCUUGCAGGGUACUCGAGUGGCGAACGGGUGAGUAACACGUGGGUGAUCUGCCCUGCACUUCGGGAUAAGCCUGGGAAACUGGGUCUAAUACCGGCUAGGAGCCAUUUUUAGUGUGAUGGUUGGAAAGUUUUUUCGGUGUAGGAUGAGCUCGCGGCCUAUCAGCUUGUUGGUGGGGUAAUGGCCUACCAAGGCGGCGACGGGUAGCCGGCCUGAGAGGGUGGACGGCCACAUUGGGACUGAGAUACGGCCCAGACACCUACGGGAGGCAGCAGUGGGGAAGAUUGCACAAUGGGCGCAAGCCGGAUGCAGCGACGCCGCGUGGGGGAUGACGGCCUUCGGGUUGAAAACUCAAUUCGCUAGGGACGAAGCUUUUUGUGACGGUACCUAGAGAAGAAGCACCGGCUAACUACGUG